This 1349-nucleotide ribosomal RNA is filed under the name uncultured bacterium. RNAcentral's name for it is "bacterial SSU rRNA". It matches the Rfam family "Bacterial small subunit ribosomal RNA", at positions 8 to 1365 of the family's 1533-position model. The record is from RNAcentral.
AGAGUUUGAUCCUGGCUCAGGAUGAACGCUGGCGGCGUGCUUAACACAUGCAAGUCGAACGAAGCACUUUAUUUGAUUUCUUCGGAAUGAUUAUUUUGUGACUGAGUGGCGGACGGGUGAGUAACGCGUGGGUAACCUGCCUCAUACAGGGGGAUAACAGUUGGAAACGACUGCUAAUACCGCAUAAGCGCACAGCAUCGCAUGAUGCCGUGUGAAAAACUCCGGUGGUAUGAGAUGGACCCGCGUCUGAUUAGUUAGUUGGCGGGGUAACGGCCCACCAAGACCGCGAUCAGUAGCCGACCUGAGAGGGUGACCGGCCACAUUGGGACUGAGACACGGCCCAAACUCCUACGGGAGGCAGCAGUGGGGAAUAUUGCACAAUGGGGGAAACCCUGAUGCAGCGACGCCGCGUGAGCGAUGAAGUAUUUCGGUAUGUAAAGCUCUAUCAGCAGGGAAGAAAAAAUGACGGUACCUGACUAAGAAGCACCGGCUAAAUACGUGCCAGCAGCCGCGGUAAUACGUAGGUGGCGAGCGUUAUCCGGAAUGAUUGGGCGUAAAGGGUGCGUAGGUGGCAGAUCAAGUCUGGAGUAAAAGGUAUGGGCUCAACCCGUACUUGCUCUGGAAACUGGUCAGCUAGAGAACAGAAGAGGGCGGCGGAACUCCAUGUGUAGCGGUAAAAUGCGUAGAUAUAUGGAAGAACACCGGUGGCGAAGGCGGCCGUCUGGUCUGGAUUCUGACACUGAAGCACGAAAGCGUGGGGAGCAAAUAGGAUUAGAUACCCUAGUAGUCCACGCCGUAAACGAUGAGAACUAGGUGUUGGGGGAAUAACUCAGUGCCGCAGUUAACGCAAUAAGUUCUCCGCCUGGGGAGUAUGCACGCAAGUGUGAAACUCAAAGGAAUUGACGGGGGCCCGCACAAGCGGUGGAGUAUGUGGUUUAAUUCGAAGCAACGCGAAGAACCUUACCAGGCCUUGACAUCCCUUGCAGAGGUAUAGAGAUAUAUCCGAGGUUAUCAAGGAGACAGGUGGUGCAUGGUUGUCGUCAGCUCGUGUCGUGAGAUGUUGGGUUAAGUCCCGCAACGAGCGCAACCCUUGUGAUAUGUUACUAACAUUGAGUUGAGGACUCAUAUCAGACUGCCGGUGAUAAACCGGAGGAAGGUGGGGAUGACGUCAAAUCAUCAUGCCCCUUAUGGCCUGGGCUACACACGUACUACAAUGGCGUCUACAAAGAGCGGCAAGCCUGUGAAGGCAAGCGAAUCUCAUAAAGGACGUCUCAGUUCGGAUUGAAGUCUGCAACCCGACUUCAUGAAGCUGGAAUCGCUAGUAAUCGCGAAUCAGCAUGUCGCGGUGA